ACCCUCGGGCCCCGCAGACGCCGCAGCAACGCGUCCUCGUCGUUCUCGACGUCGCCGAAGACCAGCUCCUCCAAGCACCGCUCCACGGCCGGUUUGUCCUCCUCCAGCCUCAGGCGGUUCCGCUGCCGGAGCCGUCUCUCUUCCUCCGCCGCCGCGACUGCAAUCGCAGCGGCCGCCGCGCUCGGCCGGGCCGGCGGUUUCCGCUGGGAUGAAGGGGCAGGCUUUUGGGGAGGCCCGCCUGGCCCCGCUCCGGCUUUCCAGUCCGGCCUCAUUCCGGGCUUCCGCUUCGGCUUCGCUCCGGUUCUCCGGUCCAGUUUCAUUCGUCUCCUCCGUUCCGGCGGCAUCGUUAGGUUUGAGGAGAAACGCAGGCGCUCACGUGGAACCUCGCUGCGCAUGCGCCCAGGCCCCUCGCUGGCCGCCGCCGCCGAAGCCCCGGGCGCCGGAAGGAGCCUGCGCAGCCUCUUGCCACGUGACCAGCACUCCCUCCCUCUACGUAACUCCCGCUCCCCUACCCAGCCCCGCCCCGUGUGGGAGUUCCUCCGGGAGGGCCAAUCUUCCGGGUGUAGGGGGAAGCGGCGUGACUGGAGUGGAAAAUUUUUCCAACACAAUUUCGCAGCUGCAACAUAUUGAAAGGAGCGCAAGAAACCCCGAGUAUACACUGGGACGGCUGAAUGGAACUUCUGCUUUUCCUCUUGGCUGUAACCACUUGACUUGACACAAGCCUCAAUACGCUUUCCACCCUUCGUCUUGGUACGGUCCUUGGAGUACGGAGCCUGCAGAGGGUCCCACGGUGGAAGCGAGAGAGGAGGAGUCGGAAGAGACGUUAGAGGUCAUCCAAAGCAGCCGUCCCCUCUGCAGCCUCUCUGACAAGUGCUUUCCAGGUUCGUACUUAAGGAUUCAUAGCUUUCUUCGGAAGAACUGAAAGCCUAUUCAUGUGAAUUUUUUUAUUUUAUCAUACAUCCUUCCUG
Molecule: long non-coding RNA, 968 nt
Filed under: Pan troglodytes (chimpanzee)
Lineage: Eukaryota; Metazoa; Chordata; Mammalia; Primates; Hominidae
Description: long non-coding RNA NONPTRT007252
Source: RNAcentral